Molecule: ribosomal RNA, 168 nt
Filed under: uncultured bacterium
Lineage: Bacteria
Description: partial 16S ribosomal RNA
Rfam family: Bacterial small subunit ribosomal RNA
Source: RNAcentral
UUGCUAGUAAUGGCAGGUCAGCAUACUGCCGUGAAUACGUUCCCGGGCCUUGUACACACCGCCCGUCACACCAUGAGAGUUGGGAAUACCCGAAGCCUGUGAGCUAACUUAUAGAGGCAGCAGUCGAAGGUAGAAUCAAUGAUUGGGGUGAAGUCGUAACAAGGUAGC